Long non-coding RNA from Ictalurus punctatus (channel catfish), 390 nucleotides. NCBI's taxonomy places the organism in Eukaryota, Metazoa, Chordata, Actinopteri, Siluriformes, Ictaluridae. The record is from Ensembl.
CAGGGAUUGGACGUUAGGUACAAUGGUGGUCAGGGAUUGGACGUUAGGUACAAUGGUGGUCAGGGAUUGGACGUUAGGUACAAUGGUGGUCAGGGAUUGGACGUUAGGUACAAUGGUGGUCAGUGAUUGGACGUUAGGUACAAUGGUGGUCAGUGAUUGGACGUUAUUUACAAUGGUGGUCAGGGAUUGAACAUUAGGUACAAUGGUGGUCAGUGAUUGGACGUUAUUUACAAUGGUGGUCAGGGAUUGGACGUUAGGUACAAUGGUGGUCAGUGAUUGGACGUUAUUUAUAAUGGUGGGCAGGGAUUGGACGUUAGGUACAAUGGUGGUCAGUGAUUGGACAUUAUUUACAAUGGUGGUCAGUGAUUGGACAUUAUUUACAAUGGUGGU